GGAGGGGGCGUGGCCACGUUUCAGAAUUCCGAGCCCCUGCAGGCUGUUGUUGCUGGGAGAGGGUGGUGCCCUUUGCAACCAGUUGGGAAGAAGGCGCCGUGCUGCCGUGCGACAGCGCUUCUCUUCCUCCCCAAAGAGGAAGAAGAGUUUUGCCGGCUAAUUAGACUGCAGUGCUUCCCAGUACCAACGGGAUAAAAUUUCAUCGCCAUCACAACCAGGAAGUGUGCAGCAUUAGGCACGGCAGCAGGAACAGCAGAGAGCUCACACCACCAACUGCAAGCAGGAAGCAUGGAGAUCACACUGGGAAUAAUGUUCUGCCUCAGCCACAUGACCCCUCAUGGAGUCUCUUAGCAGCGAUAGAAACUCUAACUAAGACACACACAUCAUGUGCUUCUGGAGAGCAGUACCAGAUUCCAUUCUAGGGCUGAAAAAAAUGACUCUGAGUACUUAGGCAUAUUUGCUGUUCCUCAGACCUGAGCUUGGUUCCCAGCACUGGGGUCAAGAGGCUCACAACUGCCUAUAACUGCCUGCAUCUCCAGUUCCAGGUACUCCAACACCAUCUUUUGGCUUCCACAGGCACCCACACCCACAUCCCCUAACCUAGUCUAGCCACCCUACCUGCACCCCAACCUGCCUCUAGGAUUCUGUCAAGACCCACUCUGCCUAACCCCCAACCCACUGGACCCUCCCUUACAACAACAGUCAACCUUUCCACCCAGCAAGAUCUAUGCCCACACUCUGGACUUGUACCAGGACUCACAUCCUGUACAGCAGCCCAGCACCUCUGUCUACCCAAUUUCAUUCCACCUAAGCCAUUUCUAACCUCUAGGCCCAACCCACCCACACAUCCUCCCUUCUGUCCCAACCUGCUUUGUCCAUAACAGACUCAGAACUAACAAAAGAAGUCCACAUGUCCAGAUCUCAUUGGAAAAAAGCACAAAAAAAAUUAUGAAUGAUCAAGCUAGUAUCUUCCCUCCCAAACCUUCUAGUCCUGUACAAAUGUUUGCUAAUGAGAAUUACCUAGAUGAACCCCAGGACACAGAAUUUAAAAGAACAAUCACAAACUUCAUCAAAGAAUUCAAAGAGUUUGAAGAAGACACAAACAGCUCAAUAAAAUCAAGGAGAAAGGACAUAGGGGGAGUAAAUGCCUGAGUGACACUCAAGAAAACACAAGAGUAAGGCUGACAGACAUGGCAAAGACAAUCCAGGACUUAAAGAUGUAACUCAAUAAAGAGACAGAAACACUACAGAGGACUCAAACUGAAAUGAAGAUGGAAUUGAAAAACUCAGUAACCCAAUGAGAAGUUGUAUGAGCAGAGUGAGUCAAGCAAAAGAUGGGGUAUUGGGACUCAUAGAUAAAGGUGAGGAUCUAAACCGAACAAGCAAAGGAUAUGAAAAUUAAAAAAAAAAAAUAGCUGGGCGGUGGUGGCCCAUGCCUUUAAUCCCAGCACUUGGGAGAUAGAGGCAGGUGGAUCUCUGUAAGUUCAAGGCCAGUGUGGUCUACAGAGUGAGUUCCAGGACAGCCAGAGCUACACAAUGAAACCUUGUCUCAAAAAACCAAAACCAAAAUAAGUAAAUAAAUAAAUCUUAGACUCCAUCCUACUUUCUCAUUUUUUAUUCUUUGGAAAGGUUUAUUUUUAUUUUUAUUAUCUGUAUGUAAGAGUGUGGAAUG
This is a long non-coding RNA of Peromyscus californicus insignis, 1672 nucleotides long. RefSeq lists it as uncharacterized. NCBI's taxonomy places the organism in Eukaryota, Metazoa, Chordata, Mammalia, Rodentia, Cricetidae. The record is from RefSeq and is a predicted model, not a curated record. The transcript is spliced from 4 exons.